Molecule: long non-coding RNA, 242 nt
Filed under: Solanum tuberosum (potato)
Lineage: Eukaryota; Viridiplantae; Streptophyta; Magnoliopsida; Solanales; Solanaceae
Description: long non-coding RNA (STUB_LNC005907)
Source: RNAcentral
UCCCGUAACAUCCUUUCUUAUACACAACCAUAUCUCAACCCUACUGCCUUCUUCAAUUUGAAUGUGAAUUCAAUCCUCUCAUACACUACUCUGUGUUUUCGUUUGUUGAUGAACAAUUUUUCUCUUUAGUUGCCUCCCCAUUUAUAUGAGAAUACAAUCCAAACACUCCUGCAACACAGAAAACAACUCAGUAUACUUAUUGAAGAGAAACAAUAUCAUUCAAUUUCACAAUGAAACUCCGA